AGUGAACGCUGGCGGUAGGCCUAACACAUGCAAGUCGAACGGCAGCACAGUAAGAGCUUGCUCUUACGGGUGGCGAGUGGCGGACGGGUGAGGUAUACAUCGGAAUCUACUUUUUCGUGGGGGAUAACGUAGGGAAACUUACGCUAAUACCGCAUACGACCUACGGGUGAAAGCAGGGGAUCUUCGGACCUUGCGCGAUUGAAUGAGCCGAUGUCGGAUUAGCUAGUUGGCGGGGUAAAGGCCCACCAAGGCGACGAUCCGUAGCUGGUCUGAGAGGAUGAUCGGCCACACUGGAACUGAGACACGGUCCAGACUCCUACGGGAGGCAGCAGUGGGGAAUAUUGGACAAUGGGCGCAAGCCUGAUCCAGCCAUACCGCGUGGGUGAAGAAGGCCUUCGGGUUGUAAAGCCCUUUUGUUGGGAAAGAAAAGCAGCAGGUUAAUACCCCGCUGUUCUGACGGUACCCAAAGAAUAAGCACCGGCUAACUUCGUG
RNAcentral lists this ribosomal RNA (492 nucleotides) under uncultured bacterium. RNAcentral describes it as "partial 16S ribosomal RNA". It matches the Rfam family "Bacterial small subunit ribosomal RNA", at positions 29 to 507 of the family's 1533-position model. The record is from RNAcentral.